AUAAGAACACGAAAGCAGGAGUGAAGAAACUGUCAACAAUCCUUUUGGUUACCAUGGAAACUGGUAUCCAUUCAUCCCUGUUAUUUUCAAGGUUUUCACCAGGCUGGAUGAUUAUGUUGCUCCGGGUGCCAUAAAAGUUAACCCUGAUUUGCCAAAGGCUACUCUUUAAGUAUGAAAAUAUAUUAAUCCAUGUUGAGCUGAGAGCUGCAUGCAGGCAAAAAAAAGACAUCACAGAUGAGGUAACCCAUACCUGUGAUCAGCUGAUAAAUGACAGGAGUGAGGUGAAGUUG
This is a long non-coding RNA of Melanotaenia boesemani (Boeseman's rainbowfish), 290 nucleotides long. RefSeq lists it as uncharacterized. The transcript has 3 exons. The record is from RefSeq and is a predicted model, not a curated record. Lineage: Eukaryota; Metazoa; Chordata; Actinopteri; Atheriniformes; Melanotaeniidae.